This 74-nucleotide transfer RNA is filed under the name Acidimicrobiia bacterium. Its description in RNAcentral is "tRNA-Ile". It matches the Rfam family "tRNA". From Rfam's summary of the family: Transfer RNA (tRNA) molecules are approximately 80 nucleotides in length. Their secondary structure includes four short double-helical elements and three loops (D, anti-codon, and T loops). Lineage: Bacteria; Bacillati; Actinomycetota; Acidimicrobiia. The record is from RNAcentral. RNAcentral also lists the same sequence under 2 other names.
GGGGCUAUAGCUCAGUCGGUUAGAGCGCAUCCCUGAUAAGGAUGAGGUCGGUGGUUCGAUUCCACCUAGCCCCA